CCUACGGGUGGCAGCAGUGAGGAAUAUUGGUCAAUGGACGAGAGUCUGAACCAGCCAAGUAGCGUGAAGGAUGACUGCCCUAUGGGUUGUAAACUUCUUUUAUAAAGGAAUAAAACGAGGCACGUGUGCCUUUUUGCAUGUACUUUAUGAAUAAGGAUCGGCUAACUCCGUGCCAGCAGCCGCGGUAAUACGGAGGAUCCGAGCGUUAUCCGGAUUUAUUGGGUUUAAAGGGAGCGUAGAUGGGUUGUUAAGUCAGUUGUGAAAGGUUGCGGCUCAACCGUAAAAUUGCAAUUGAUACUGGCAGUCUUGAGUACAGUUGAGGUAGGCGGAAUGCGUGGUGUAGCGGUGAAAUGCUUAGAUAUCACGAAGAACCCCGAUUGCGAAGGCAGCUUACUAAACUGUGACUGACAUUGAUGCUCGAAAGUGUGGGUAUCAAACAGGAUUAGAUACCCUUGUAGUC
This 460-nucleotide ribosomal RNA is filed under the name uncultured bacterium. Its description in RNAcentral is "partial 16S ribosomal RNA". It matches the Rfam family "Bacterial small subunit ribosomal RNA", at positions 338 to 795 of the family's 1533-position model. The record is from RNAcentral.